CCUACGGGAGGCAGCAGUGAGGAAUAUUGGUCAAUGGCCGAAAGGCUGAACCAGCCAUGCCGCGUGAGGGUCAGUGCCCUAUGGGUUGUAAACUUCUUUUAUACAGGAAUAAAGUGAGGCACGUGUUCCUUUUUGUAUGUACUUUAUGAAUAAGGAUCGGCUAACUCCGUGCCCGCAGCCGCGGUAAUACGGCGGAUCCUGGCGUUAUCCGGAUUUUUUGGGUUUAAAGGGAGCGUAGAUGGGUUGUUAAGUCAGUUGUGAAAGUUUGCGGGUCAAACGUAAAAUUGCAAUUGAGACUGGCAGUCUUGAGUAGAGUUGAGGUAGGCGGAAUUCGUGGUGUAGCGGUGAAAUGCUUAGAUAUCACGAAGAACUCCGAUUGCGAAGGCAGCUUACUAAACUGCCACUGACAUUGAGGCUCGAAAGUGUGGGUAUCAAACAGGAUUAGAUACCCUUGUAGUC
RNAcentral lists this ribosomal RNA (459 nucleotides) under uncultured bacterium. Its description in RNAcentral is "partial 16S ribosomal RNA". It matches the Rfam family "Bacterial small subunit ribosomal RNA", at positions 338 to 795 of the family's 1533-position model. The record is from RNAcentral.